RNAcentral lists this unclassified non-coding RNA (256 nucleotides) under Hevea brasiliensis (rubber tree). The record is from RNAcentral. Lineage: Eukaryota; Viridiplantae; Streptophyta; Magnoliopsida; Malpighiales; Euphorbiaceae.
AAAAGGCAUUGUGUGCACAUCCAUGAGAAUUCAUUGUGAUUUAUGAGAAAUAUACCAAAAAUGCUACAAUUUUAAAAACCAUGAAGUGGCAGUCAGAGCCACAUCAGUAGCCAUUUGGACAGCUAACCUCACUACACUAUUUCAGUAGCGUGUCCCGCAUGCAAUUGCCCAUGAAACAAUUUCUAAACCUAUUUAUGUUCGUUUAUUGUUUCAUAGCAUUGUUCUCACAGUCCAGCUAGCCCCACAAUUUUUAGGG